This 398-nucleotide ribosomal RNA is filed under the name uncultured bacterium. Its description in RNAcentral is "partial 16S ribosomal RNA". It matches the Rfam family "Bacterial small subunit ribosomal RNA", at positions 361 to 776 of the family's 1533-position model. The record is from RNAcentral.
AUAUUGCGCAAUGGGGGCAACCCUGACGCAGCAAUGCCGCGUGAAGGAUGAAGGUCUUNGGAUUGNANACUUCUUUUGUCAGGGANGCUAAUGACGGUACCUGACGAAUAAGCUCCGGCUAACUACGUGCCAGCAGCCGCGGUAAUACGUAGGGAGCAAGCGUUGUCCGGAUUUACUGGGUGUAAAGGGUGCGUAGGCGGGCUUGCAAGUCAGCUGUGAAAUCUAUGGGCUCAACCCAUAAAUUGCAGUUGAAACUGUAGGUCUUGAGUGAAGUAGAGGCAGGCGGUAUUCCCAGUGUAGCGGUGAAAUGCGUAGAGAUUGGGAGGAACACCAGUGGCGAAGGCGGCCUGCUGGGCUUUAACUGACGCUGAGGCACGAAAGCAUGGGUAGCAAACAGG